This 850-nucleotide unclassified non-coding RNA is filed under the name Melitaea cinxia (Glanville fritillary). RNAcentral's name for it is "misc RNA ENSMCXG00005016007.1". The record is from RNAcentral. Lineage: Eukaryota; Metazoa; Arthropoda; Insecta; Lepidoptera; Nymphalidae.
ACAAGCACCACCUAUCGAUUAAAAAAAGAAUUAUCGAUAUCGGUCCACCCAGUAAAAUAGUAAUGAGGUUAAUAUAACGUCGGUCGACGUAAAAUAGCCAAGUAAAUACCCAGUAUUAGCGAUAACUCAAAAAUUAAAAGCUCAAAUAUAUUUAUAACGAAUAAACUGCUACUCUCUACUCUAGUGGAAUAUUGUAAUUUGAUCGAUAGUGAACGAAGUAAUUUCAUUAAAUUUUGAUAGAUGGCGUUGUGGCAAAGUAUUGAACAUGACCACAGCCGUCUUAACAUCGUCAUGUAAAUACGUGUCAUCAAAGAUUACUCAAAAAUUGCUCAUUAUAUCUCAAUCAUAUUUAAAACGGACGACAUGACAAGUAUUAGCUUUUAAUUUAUACAAAAAAGAUCAAAAUCAGUGUAUCCAGUAAAAAGAUAUAACGUAUAAUACAACGUAGGGUGACGAAAAUAAUGUCAAGUAAAUACGCGUUAUCAAAGAUUAAUCAAAAAGUAGUUAUCAGAUCUCGAUAAAAUUUAUAUGUGACCACAUGAUAAACAUCAGCUUUCGAUUAAAGUAAAAAUUAUCAAAAUCGAUACACCCAGUAAAAAGUUAUUGCGGAUUUUCAAGAGUUUCCCUCGAUUUCUCUGGGAUCCCAUCAUCAGAUCCUUUUUUUAUUUCCUUAUCAUGGUACCAAACUAGGGAUAUCCCCUUUCCAACAAAAAAAGAAUUAUCAAAAUCGGUACACCCAGUAGAAAGUUAUGUGGUAUAAUACAACGUAGGUCGACGAAAAAAGCGUCAAGUAAAAACGCAUUAUUAGAUAUAAUUCGAAAAGUAGUUGUUAGAUCUCAAAUAAAUUUAA